AAUGCUACGGUGUGGAAACUCGGUAAGAAUAAUUCAUUAAAAAAAAGUGCUGGAAUUCGAGAGAAGCUGCGAGAAGAAGAGACAGUCUGGCUGGGCGAGGGAGCUGCAAGGCGCCGCACCGCACGACAGCCUCGCUGGGGUUCAAGGUGCGGAUUGAAAACGGAGAGCCCCCUAUUGACCUGUGUGCCACGGCUGCAGCAGUAUCUUUGGAUGCAAUUGUCGUAAGAGGAUUAGUGGGCUGAAGGUUUGCAAACUAAAGGGAAAAGGUUGCUGGUCUUCUCCUGGAAGCUGGUUUCAGGUGGUGGCUUAGAGUUCUUCAUGUUUUUAAUCUAGCACCAUUUGAAAUCAGUGUUCUUGGAGCAAGAAAAACAUCAAUCAGCCUGAGGAGAGAGGAGCGCUGGAGACUGAGAUGAACUGCAACAUCAGUCAGCCUGACGAGAGAGGGGCUGAGAUGAACGAAGAUGAACUGCACACUCAUGCAUGGGAGCGGGCUGUCACAAGAAGCCCUGCACUUUAUACAGGAGAGCCAGGUUGUUUUGUAGUAAGUUUUGUAGUAACUUUUCCCAUGCCUUUUGCACGGUUAUACUAUGCACUUACCAUAGUAUGUCAUGUUUUGCCAUAUCUCUAGGCUUUAUGUUGCUUACAUAGCUAUGCUUUAUUCAUGAUAUUUCUGUAGUGAACUUUUACAUCUGAAAAAGCUGGCAAAGGUACAUUAAUUUCUAAGGUAAUGUGAUUGUGAGGGCGGGACUCCAUACAUGUAGUUAAAAGUUUAUGGAGGAAGACAGAAAUAUCAUUUAAUCAAAAUUAUUAUGCUGCCAAGCUUCAGUUUCAAAACUUUGUAAGUGCAGAGUCCUGAGUCUUUUCUGGGUUGAGAAACAGUUUGCAAUGCAGACAUAACUGGAAGCCCCAUAUAUGCGGCACAUAAUGAUGUUGUUCAUGUUGUGCAUGCUCUCUCCCACCCCACAGCACCCAUGGACUUUACUCUGAGCCCUCUUCCCAAGGUUGACCGAUUUCUUUUGGUGUUCAGAGUCAUCAUCAGUUUCUAGCACCAUUUGAAAUCGGUUACAGUGUAGGAGGUAAAGCAGCAACAAACAAACAAACAAAAAUAAAAACCUGCAAACAAAUCUAUUGCAUUGCAUGUAGUUCGUUGUUGCUGAGCUGAUUCAUGUGUUAUUUUUUAGGUGUUUUUGAUAUUGUUCAGUAUGUCAAAAGCUCAAUAAAAAUUAUAUUAAAAAAAAAAAAAAAAAA
Molecule: long non-coding RNA, 1248 nt
Organism: Polyodon spathula (Mississippi paddlefish)
Lineage: Eukaryota; Metazoa; Chordata; Actinopteri; Acipenseriformes; Polyodontidae
Exons: 2
Source: RefSeq, a predicted model, not a curated record